This 141-nucleotide ribosomal RNA is filed under the name uncultured eukaryote. Its description in RNAcentral is "partial 18S ribosomal RNA". It matches the Rfam family "Eukaryotic small subunit ribosomal RNA", at positions 1510 to 1650 of the family's 1831-position model. The record is from RNAcentral.
GAGCAGCGAGUUCUUUUCCUUGGCCGGAAGGUCUGGGUAAUCUUGUGAAACUCUGUCGUGCUGGGGAUAGAGCAUUGCAAUUAUUGCUCUUCAACGAGGAAUUCCUAGUAAGCGUGAGUCAUCAGCUCGCGUUGAUUACGU